UCUUUCUCCUUUCUUUUGCUAGUUGCUGAACAUCCUUCAAGCACUUCAGUGUUGACAGCAGGACAGCUGGGGGGAAGUCACCCUGCUUUUAUUCCCAGCAUGAUUGCUCCUGAUGAAUAAAGGGGAAAAAUACUGGGGAUUCCUUUAUUUCCUGGGAGUUUACUUAGCCUUUUCUAGAAUGGGGGUUAAAGUGACUGUGACUUCCAAGGGGGCAUGAGUAAAGUCCCCCCAGUUUUUUUUUUUUAGCUCAUCUUAAAAAAUCCCAGUGACUUAUAGGUUAGAACUGGAAACCACUUUGAAUAUGACAGUUUUGUUACAGCUAAUCAAAUAUUCUGUAUCAAGUUCUGAAAUUUCUUGUCUAAAUAGACUUCAUUGCUCAAAUUGCAGCCUAAAUCCCAUUACCACUGCCUCAGACCUGUACAGAGUAAGGUGCUUCUCCCUCCCGUGGGUUCCUGUGGUUCCGGCAGACCUGACUCCCUCUGGGUCUGCAUCCUGCAUGCUGAACAUGUGCCUUUGCUUGGUUCUUCCUCUAUGGUUAUUUUCUUACAUCUCUAAAUAAAAUCUAAAUUUUUGAAUUCCAAGUUUAUGCUUGGGGCCACUCAUGACUCUUGCCCUGCAUGUUGCAGGGAAUAGCUGUUGUGAAACAGUAAUCUGUGUACUGAUUUUUUUUUUUUUCUGAAGGUGGACUCCAAAUCCAUGCAGUCUAUGAGAAUAUGUCCAUUUACUUUUCUGAAUUCCUUCCUCUGCCAUUUUACAUAUUAGGGGAUGUUAAGCUUCCAAAUGGUUUUGAACCCAGCACCUCAGUGGAUGAUUGGAAUAAGAUUUGAGUGCCCCACACAGCUUCAUGUGUUGAAAUCUAGUCCCCAAGGUACAGUAUUAAGAGGGUAGAAAUCAUGGUGUUUAGAGGCAGGGCCUUUAAGAAGUGAUUAGGAUUAGAUAAAACCACCAGGGAGGAGUCCACAUGAUUGAAUUCUGGUUGCUUUAAAAGAAGAGAGGGGAAACCAGACAAGGCAGGCAAAUGAACUCCUUGUUUUUCACUAGAUGGUACAUUUUUAUGUCUUGGGACUUUGCCCAGUGAGACAGCCAUCACCAGACGUAGCAUCUCAACCUUGGAACAGAACGUCUCUCCCCAGCAAGCGUUAUUACUUUGCGGUGCUCAACAGGAGUUGAUGGGCAGCCUCCACAUUUCUCCUCGGCUUCACUGCCUCGCAGACGGACUUCUUCAUUAAAGGCCACACCACAGUUCUCCAGGCUUAAUGGGCAUAAAUAUAGCUGCUCAAAGAGGGGAAGCACUUUUCUGUCCAUGAAGAUAUUACAUCCAAGAGACGAAAGGAAAACCUGCUAAUUGAGAAUCGCACUUCAGUUUAAUUACACAGAUGCUAAAAUAAUGUAACUGAAGCGCCUUAAAAAUAUAAUUAUCCACUAUGCAAUGCUUGAGAGCCUGCUUUAUCUUUUUGCGUUUAAUGUACAUGAUCAAGAAAGAGCCAACAAAAGAAUCAUUCCUGGGUAAUUUGGGAAACUGGGACAUGUUUGGGUUUGAAAGAUGUUUCAGAAAGCGUCUUGCAUUUGGAGGGAAUCAUCAAAGGUAUUUUGUGAGCAACUAUACAUAAAAUCCUUCUUCUCUACCUGUAUGUUCUUCAAAGGCACUUGGGAUUAAAAUAAUAAAUUUUAGGGUAGCUUGAAACUGUGUCCAAUUAUCUCCUCCAAUACCACAAAGAGUGAGGACUGCUGUAUGUUUGGAAAGAAAAACAUACUGUCUUUGUAGUGUGCCUUGAAGAAGGUUUAGAAAGUGCUUCUGAUUGACUAAAUAUUCCUUCUACCCUUUCCUUCUUUACCUUUUAGCUAUAUUGUUGAAUAUAUUAUUAGACAGUGCUGGCUUUGCAUAGAAUGCUAACCUCUCAAAACACUCUGCUCAAAAAUAAACCUGAUUGUGUAUUGCUUC
This is a non-coding RNA of Ictidomys tridecemlineatus (thirteen-lined ground squirrel), 1942 nucleotides long. The record is from RefSeq and is a predicted model, not a curated record. NCBI's taxonomy places the organism in Eukaryota, Metazoa, Chordata, Mammalia, Rodentia, Sciuridae.